This 253-nucleotide ribosomal RNA is filed under the name uncultured bacterium. Its description in RNAcentral is "partial 16S ribosomal RNA". It matches the Rfam family "Bacterial small subunit ribosomal RNA", at positions 524 to 776 of the family's 1533-position model. The record is from RNAcentral.
UACGAGGGGGGCGAGCGUUGUUCGGAAUUAUUGGGCGUAAAGGGCGCGUAGGCGGUGCGGUAAGUCACCUGUGAAAUCCCCGAGCUCAACUUGGGAAUUGCAGUGGAUACUGGCAAGCUGGAGUAUGGUAGAGGAAGGUGGAAUUCCCGGUGUAGCAGUGAAAUGCGUAGAGAUCGGGAGGAACACCAGUGGCGAAGGCGGCCUUCUGGACCAAUACUGACGCUCAUGCACGAAAGCGUGGGGAGCAAACAGG